CAUGCGUGCUGAAGUACUUCCUUUCCAGUCCAGCAAGCAAGACUAAGAGCGAAGAUUUGAAUUGCAAAUCAAACUAUUUCACUGCAAAGAAAACCAUCGACGUCCAUAAAGAUUCAGAAAUUGGAGACAGUGGAGGAACUACUCGACCUUGACGAGUUGAUAAAAACUCAACCAAGCAAGAAAGAUUUGCUGACAGCCAGGCUCUCAAAGAUUGGUGGAUAUGACUUAAAAAGCUGUUUAAGCACCAUCAUGGACAGGCUCAUGACAAAUUAAUUAAUGUCCAAUCUGAACAUGAAGGGGAGAGGGGGAAAAAAAUAGCUUUGCCGAGACGAAGCUGCUCGAUUUAGUCACAGCUAGUGUCUUGGAUACCCAGAAGGGGACCGAAACGAUGGUCCAUGAUGCCAUAAAAAAUAAACUGAAAUAUGCCCCUGGACGGAAGGGAGGAAUAGGAUGGGCAUCACAGGCUAAAUAAAUAAUUAUAUUGAU
Nerophis ophidion (straightnose pipefish) is the source of this 486-nucleotide long non-coding RNA. RefSeq lists it as uncharacterized. The record is from RefSeq and is a predicted model, not a curated record. The transcript has 5 exons. NCBI's taxonomy places the organism in Eukaryota, Metazoa, Chordata, Actinopteri, Syngnathiformes, Syngnathidae.